RNAcentral lists this ribosomal RNA (117 nucleotides) under Puniceicoccales bacterium. Lineage: Bacteria; Pseudomonadati; Verrucomicrobiota; Opitutia; Puniceicoccales. The record is from RNAcentral.
CCUGGUGAUCAUAAAGUAGUGGGAAACACACGUAUCCAUUCCGAACACGCUCGUUAAGCCUUUACUUGCCAAUGGUAGUGCUGCGUUAUGCAGUGCGAGAGUAGGUUGUUGCCAGGC